GACGAACGCUGGCGGCGUGCUUAACACAUGCAAGUCGAACGGUGAAGGGACCGGUUUUUGCUGGUUCUGGAUGAGUGGCGAACGGGUGAGUAACACGUGAGUAACCUGCCCCCUUCUUCUGGAUAACCGCAUGAAAGUGUGGCUAAUACGGGAUAUUCUGCGCCUGCUGCAUGGUGGGUGUGGGAAAGAUAUUGUUUCGGUGGGGGAUGGGCUCGCGGCCUAUCAGCUUGUUGGUGGGGUGAUGGCCUACCAAGGCGGUGACGGGUAGCCGGCCUGAGAGGGUGGACGGUCACACUAGGACUGAGACACGGCCCAGACUCCUACGGGAGGCAGCAGUGGGGAAUAGUGCACAAUGGGCGCAAGCCUGAUGCAGCGACGCCGCGUGAGGGAUGGAGGCCUUCGGGUUGUAAACCUCUUUCGCCAGUGAAGCAGGCCUGUCCCUUUUGUGGGUGGGUUGACGGUAGCUGGAUAAGAAGCGCCGGCUAACUACGUG
This 493-nucleotide ribosomal RNA is filed under the name uncultured bacterium. RNAcentral's name for it is "partial 16S ribosomal RNA". It matches the Rfam family "Bacterial small subunit ribosomal RNA", at positions 28 to 507 of the family's 1533-position model. The record is from RNAcentral.